Molecule: ribosomal RNA, 968 nt
Filed under: Tingoldiago clavata
Lineage: Eukaryota; Fungi; Ascomycota; Dothideomycetes; Pleosporales; Lentitheciaceae
Description: SSU rRNA
Rfam family: Eukaryotic small subunit ribosomal RNA
Source: RNAcentral
GAAACUGCGAAUGGCUCAUUAAAUCAGUUAUCGUUUAUUUGAUAGUACCUUACUACUUGGAUAACCGUGGUAAUUCUAGAGCUAAUACAUGCUGAAAACCCCGACUUCGGAAGGGGUGUAUUUAUUAGAUAAAAAACCAAUGCCCUUCGGGGCUCCUUGGUGAUUCAUAAUAACUUCUCAGAUCGCAUGGCCUUGCGCCGGCGACGGUUCAUUCAAAUUUCUGCCCUAUCAACUUUCGAUGGUAAGGUAUUGGCUUACCAUGGUUUCAACGGGUAACGGAGAAUUAGGGUUCGAUUCCGGAGAGGGAGCCUGAGAAACGGCUACCACAUCCAAGGAAGGCAGCAGGCGCGCAAAUUACCCAAUCCCGACACGGGGAGGUAGUGACAAUAAAUACUGAUACAGGGCUCUUUUGGGUCUUGUAAUUGGAAUGAGUACAAUUUAAACCUCUUAACGAGGAACAAUUGGAGGGCAAGUCUGGUGCCAGCAGCCGCGGUAAUUCCAGCUCCAAUAGCGUAUAUUAAAGUUGUUGCAGUUAAAAAGCUCGUAGUUGAACCUUUGGCCUGGCUGGCAGGUCCGCCUCACCGCGUGCACUUGUCCGGCCGGGCCUUCUCUUCUGGAGAACCGCAUGCCCUUCACUGGGUGUGUUGGGGACCAGGACUUUUACUUUGAAAAAAUUAGAGUGUUCAAAGCAGGCCUUUGCUCGAAUACGUUAGCAUGGAAUAAUAGAAUAGGACGUGCGGUCCUAUUUUGUUGGUUUCUAGGACCGCCGUAAUGAUUAAUAGGGACAGUCGGGGGCAUCAGUAUUCAAUUGUCAGAGGUGAAAUUCUUGGAUUUAUUGAAGACUAACUACUGCGAAAGCAUUUGCCAAGGAUGUUUUCAUUAAUCAGUGAACGAAAGUUAGGGGAUCGAAGACGAUCAGAUACCGUCGUAGUCUUAACCAUAAACUAUGCCGACUAGGGAUCGGGCGG